RNAcentral lists this ribosomal RNA (253 nucleotides) under uncultured bacterium. RNAcentral describes it as "partial 16S ribosomal RNA". It matches the Rfam family "Bacterial small subunit ribosomal RNA", at positions 524 to 776 of the family's 1533-position model. The record is from RNAcentral.
UACGUAGGGUGCUAGCGUUGUCCGGAUUUAUUGGGCGUAAAGAGCUCGUAGGCGGUCUGUCGCGUCGAAUGUGAAAACCCGGGGCUCAACUCCGGGCUUGCAUUCGAUACGGGCAGGCUAGAGUUCGGUAGGGGAGUCUGGAAUUCCUGGUGUAGCGGUGAAAUGCGCAGAUAUCAGGAGGAACACCGGUGGCGAAGGCGGGACUCUGGGCCGAUACUGACGCUGAGGAGCGAAAGCGUGGGGAGCGAACAGG